UGAGUAGAGUGGCGCACGAGGUGAGUAACGCGUGGGUAAUCUACCCUUGGAUUUGGGAUAACUCUGCGAAAGUGGAGCUAAUACCGGAUAGUCUGGCUUUAAAUAAGAAGUCGGUAAAGGAUGCCUCUGCAUAUGCAUUCGUCCGAGGAUGAGCCCGCGUCUCAUUAGCUAGUUGGUAGGGUAAUGGCCUACCAAGGCAACGAUGAGUAGCUGGUCUGAGAGGAUGAUCAGCCACACUGGAACUGAAACACGGUCCAGACUCCUACGGGAGGCAGCAGUGGGGAAUAUUGCGCAAUGGGCGAAAGCCUGACGCAGCAACGCCGUGUGAGGGAUGAAGGCUUUCGGGUCGUAAACCUCUGUCGGAAGGGAAGAACGGGCAUUGGUCUAAUAGGCCUUUGUUUUGACGGUACCUUUAGAGGAAGCACCGGCUAACUCCGUGCCAGCAGCCGCGGUAAUACGGAGGGUGCAAGCGUUAUUCGGAAUUACUGGGCGUAAAGCGCACGUAGGCGGCCUUGUAAGUCAGGGGUGAAAUCCCACGGCUCAACCGUGGAACUGCCUUUGAAACUGCAGGGCUUGAAUCCUGGAGAGGGUGGCGGAAUUCCUGGUGUAGGAGUGAAAUCCGUAGAUAUCAGGAGGAACACCGGUGGCGAAGGCGGCCACCUGGACAGGCAUUGACGCUGAGGUGCGAAAGUGUGGGGAGCAAACAGGAUUAGAUACCCUGGUAGUCCACACCGUAAACGAUGGAUACUAGGUGUCGGGGACUUGAUCUUCGGUGCCGUAGCUAACGCGUUAAGUAUCCCGCCUGGGGAGUACGGUCGCAAGGCUGAAACUCAAAGAAAUUGACGGGGGCCCGCACAAGCGGUGGAGUAUGUGGUUUAAUUCGAUGCAACGCGAAGAACCUUACCUAGGCUUGAC
RNAcentral lists this ribosomal RNA (915 nucleotides) under delta proteobacterium FM3-F10. RNAcentral describes it as "bacterial SSU rRNA". It matches the Rfam family "Bacterial small subunit ribosomal RNA", at positions 87 to 985 of the family's 1533-position model. The record is from RNAcentral. Lineage: Bacteria; Deltaproteobacteria.